Molecule: ribosomal RNA, 497 nt
Filed under: uncultured bacterium
Lineage: Bacteria
Description: partial 16S ribosomal RNA
Rfam family: Bacterial small subunit ribosomal RNA
Source: RNAcentral
GAUGAACGCUGGCGGCGUGCCUAAUACAUGCAAGUCGAGCGAACGGACGAGGAGCUUGCUCCUCUGACGUUAGCGGCGGACGGGUGAGUAACACGUGGAUAACCUACCUAUAAGACUGGGAUAACUUCGGGAAACCGGAGCUAAUACCGGAUAAUAUUUUGAACCGCAUGGUUCAAAAGUGAAAGACGGUUUUGCUGUCACUUAUAGAUGGAUCCGCGCUGCAUUAGCUAGUUGGUAAGGUAACGGCUUACCAAGGCAACGAUGCGUAGCCGACCUGAGAGGGUGAUCGGCCACACUGGAACUGAGACACGGUCCAGACUCCUACGGGAGGCAGCAGUAGGGAAUCUUCCGCAAUGGGCGAAAGCCUGACGGAGCAACGCCGCGUGAGUGAUGAAGGUCUUCGGAUCGUAAAACUCUGUUAUUAGGGAAGAACAAAUGUGUAAGUAACUAUGCACGUCUUGACGGUACCUAAUCAGAAAGCCACGGCUAACUACGUG